CAAGCUCAAAUCUUCCUUUCCUAUGCACAUUAUGCCAAGCAUGCACAAUCUUCUGCUUCAAAUGUUGGGAACCUUUACCCUCUUGAUAGAAAAGACCUUCUAACAACAUGUUAUUAGGUUUGUCUCUCAAGGGGAACCCAAGUUGACGACGAGCCAAAGCAGGGUUGUAGUUAAUUCCUCCUUGUGUACCAAUGAAGUGUCCCUUGAGAAAUUUGAUCAAUUGGUGAGAUAGCUUG
This 236-nucleotide long non-coding RNA is filed under the name Lathyrus oleraceus (garden pea). RNAcentral's name for it is "Pisum sativum (pea) long non-coding RNA (PSAT_LNC023512)". The record is from RNAcentral. Lineage: Eukaryota; Viridiplantae; Streptophyta; Magnoliopsida; Fabales; Fabaceae.